This 939-nucleotide long non-coding RNA is filed under the name Capsicum annuum. RNAcentral's name for it is "long non-coding RNA (CANN_LNC012258)". Lineage: Eukaryota; Viridiplantae; Streptophyta; Magnoliopsida; Solanales; Solanaceae. The record is from RNAcentral.
GCUCCGAAAAUUUUUUGGGUGAAACCUCUGACGGUCCCCUGACGGCCUAUUAAAUGGUUCGGGUUGCUCUGGAGGGGCUAGGGGAGGCAUUUUCCAAAUCAAACAACCAAAACGACAAGAAUUACAUGCUUUUUUAUGAAUUUUGAUGGGUGUUAACCUACCCACGGAUCGGUGGGUGGAUGCAGGCUCUGAAAAAAAAAUUAAACAAAAAAUAACAGUAAUUGAGAAUUCUUUCAAUUUUUCAUCUAUGUUGACCUAUGAAUUAAUGGGUGCUAUGGGCGUCCAAAUGAGGUUUAGGUGAAACUCCUUGAGCCCACUCGUGACAACCUACUAAAUGAAUUAGGUUGUUUUAGAAAGGCGAAUGAAGCUUCUUUAAAAACAUAUGAUUGAGGAUUAUUUAAAUUUUUCAUCUAUGUUGACCUGUGGAUUAAUAGGAGAUAUGAAUGUUCGAAUGAGUUUUAAGCGACACUAAAAUAUUAUUCUAAAAGAAGCUGAAAUUUCCCAGUACAAUAUGCACUGAACUUCAUCACUAUAUAACAAUGUUGUAAGUCACAUUUAAACUCUUUUGUACAAGAACUCUAGUGAAAUCUUUCAUGUUUGAAUUAUUGCCCAUGAUGAAAACCUCAACCUACAAUACCAGAGAAUCCAAAUAUAUCCUAAACCACUUGAGCAGCCAGCAGCAUAUACAAAAGCUAUUGUCCUGAAUGUGUUUGAUCCAAUCUGCAGUGACAACAUCAACAAUGAGUCAAUUUACAUUCAACUAUCAUCAACCUAAGUAAGGCAGAAAAUUUUAUAUAUUAUUUCUAAAAUAAACAUCAAUUAGCCCCAUGGUAGAAAAGCCACACCUACUUCAUCCUACAACGACAGGAGAAACGAUGAAGAUAGAAGACCAUAAUUCCUAUUGUACUAUUUCCAAGAAAAAACAUUCGCAUACAAGCA